This 301-nucleotide ribosomal RNA is filed under the name uncultured bacterium. RNAcentral's name for it is "partial 16S ribosomal RNA". It matches the Rfam family "Bacterial small subunit ribosomal RNA", at positions 509 to 807 of the family's 1533-position model. The record is from RNAcentral.
CAGUCGCCGCGGGAAUACAGAGGGUGCAAGCGUUAAUCGGAAUUACUGGGCGUAAAGCGUGCGCAGACGGUUGCGUAAGUCAGAUGUGAAAGCCCCGGGCUCAACCUGGGAAUUGCAUUUGAGACUGCGUAGCUAGGGUGCGGAAGAGGGAAGCGGAAUUUCCGGUGUAGCGGUGAAAUGCGUAGAUAUCGGAAGGAACACCAGUGGCGAAAGCGGCUUCCUGGUCCAGCGCCGACGUUCAGGCACGAAAGCGUGGGGAGCGAACAGGAUUAGAUACCCCCGUAGUCCCUGUCUCUUAUAC